CAAGCUGUACAAUAGGGCAACAUCGCAAUUAGCCAACUAAUAUCAAUGCCACACAAGGCAGGAAUUAACUCGGCAAGUAAACUAUGUAGUUCAAUACUAAAUGGUUGUAUGCUCUGGUUAGUUCAAACCCCCAGACCCCAGUAUUCAGAUUUGAUUCAGUUGCAGACUACUUGUAUACAAUUGACACCGGGUGGAACAGAACAACAUAACUAGAUAAACUAGCACACCCAGGUCAACACCAGC
RNAcentral lists this long non-coding RNA (243 nucleotides) under Hordeum vulgare. RNAcentral's name for it is "long non-coding RNA (HVUL_LNC016840)". The record is from RNAcentral. Lineage: Eukaryota; Viridiplantae; Streptophyta; Magnoliopsida; Poales; Poaceae.